RNAcentral lists this ribosomal RNA (604 nucleotides) under Escherichia coli. RNAcentral describes it as "partial 23S ribosomal RNA". It matches the Rfam family "Bacterial large subunit ribosomal RNA", at positions 911 to 1516 of the family's 2925-position model. The record is from RNAcentral. Lineage: Bacteria; Pseudomonadati; Pseudomonadota; Gammaproteobacteria; Enterobacterales; Enterobacteriaceae.
UGUUUCGGCAAGGGGGUCAUCCCGACUUACCAACCCGAUGCAAACUGCGAAUACCGGAGAAUGUUAUCACGGGAGACACACGGCGGGUGCUAACGUCCGUCGUGAAGAGGGAAACAACCCAGACCGCCAGCUAAGGUCCCAAAGUCAUGGUUAAGUGGGAAACGAUGUGGGAAGGCCCAGACAGCCAGGAUGUUGGCUUAGAAGCAGCCAUCAUUUAAAGAAAGCGUAAUAGCUCACUGGUCGAGUCGGCCUGCGCGGAAGAUGUAACGGGGCUAAACCAUGCACCGAAGCUGCGGCAGCGACGCUUAUGCGUUGUUGGGUAGGGGAGCGUUCUGUAAGCCUGUGAAGGUGUGCUGUGAGGCAUGCUGGAGGUAUCAGAAGUGCGAAUGCUGACAUAAGUAACGAUAAAGCGGGUGAAAAGCCCGCUCGCCGGAAGACCAAGGGUUCCUGUCCAACGUUAAUCGGGGCAGGGUGAGUCGACCCCUAAGGCGAGGCCGAAAGGCGUAGUCGAUGGGAAACAGGUUAAUAUUCCUGUACUUGGUGUUACUGCGAAGGGGGGACGGAGAAGGCUAUGUUGGCCGGGCGACGGUUGUCCCGGUUUAAG